ACCCGUGCGAAAUCGCAAACAUGGCCGACUUCAUUGUUUUGAUACUGGCAAAGCGUUAAUUGUUUUGCUCGACGAUAUAUUACAAUAUACAUCUUUCGAUUCUAUUCGGCGUUUACGCGACUUACCGGCUUUUCCGACCAGUUGUCGUCGCCGUCCGCUAAUUUCCGGGAUAGUGAGUAAUUUUUAUUAUUUUUUUUUUGAACUAUUCUGUUACUCGCGGUCGUUGCCGCCGCGAAAUAUCCGGAUAAUGUAAACACCGGCAGUAGCUUCAACGGCAUCUUCGUCAAUCGAACCCUCAGUCGGUAAGUGUACCUUUCUCCUUAUCAUUAUUUUAUUUUAUUAACGUUAGCUAUAUUUUUGCGAUUUUUUCAUCUUGAUUGAAUUUUUUUUCCGACCUUCGCAUAGAGCCGUCCUCAAAGUAUUCUAGGUCUUAAGAAGUAAGUUAUGUAACGUUCAGCAACCCGACUAAUCGCACUGAUUAAGGUUUUUUUAAAAAAAUCUAGUUUCUCUGCUUAAGCACUUUAAAUAUUAAAUAUUCCGAUUUAACUAUCGUAUGUGACUUGCAUGCCAGUCAAACGCUGUAUUUAUAAUAAUUCUUACAAUAAAAAUGUUUUUUAGGCAAUAAUUUAUCAAUAACUUAAAUUAAUUUUGUAUGAUUUAAACUCGUCAAAGAAUAUAUCUGGGUAACUAUUUUUCUGACUGAUUAUUCUAUUCAAAAUAAAGUACUUUAACUACUCUCCAUUACAUAGUAAUACAAUACUCUUUGCAAUACCUAUGCUUUUUAAUAUUUUAAAGCAUAGGUAAGUAUUCAAUAAUAUUUCUUUUGUAUGUUUUAUCAAUUAGUUAAAUGUAAUAAUACCUACACAAAUAAACAAUUUUGUCAAGUAUUUGUCAAAUAAUUUACAAAAUAUAUUAAACAUAACUAUUGGUACCUUGUUUCAACAUAACCUUUUAUAUUAUUAAUAUUCUGAACAAAAUAAUUUCAUUUCUCAAUACCCAUCUAAAUAGAUAAAAUACCUUGAUACUUAGUGCAUUUAAACCAUUUAAAAAAUUGUAUGUAUUUUUAUAGAAGUAUACUACUCCAUUUUUAUGUCUUUUGAAAUUUAUAUUUCAUUUAUGUUAAAUUUUUCGCAAAGUAAAUUAAAUUUGAUCAAAAAAAUUAAACAUUUGUAUCUUCUGUGAUAAUAAAAAGACACUAAUGUAGUUAAUGACAUCUGUACUAUUUUUAACUUGGCUCAAACUCUAAUGCAAAUUCUUUUGCCAUAGCUUUUAAUUUAUCAAAUUCAAAUUGUUAAUCAUUAAUUAUGUUGUAAUAAUUGUUCUACAUAAUAUUUAUUAAGUAUAAAAUUAGCUACCUACCUUUUUUGAAAUGAACCUGUCAAACACGUGCUUCGUGUUUACUAAACAAAUCUGUGCCUAAUAUAGGCUGGUAAUAAAUACAUUAUUCUAAAAUAUGCCAAACUAGGCUUUAUUAAUUUAUACAUUUUUAAUGAAAAAAAGAAUACUUAUCUUCACCAAGGUACCUAUUAAAUUUGUAACAUUUAUUGUUUAUUUUUUUUUUAUAAAUACAGAAAAUGGAUAAUCAAGGCCAUCAUCCGGCCGCAGUAAAAAAACGUUCCAUUGAUGACAUCAUAAAUAACAUAACAUCAGAUCUUCAAAGUUAUGAAGGUCGGUAUAUGGUAUUAGGGAAUCCGAGACAAUCGACAGACAUUAUGUGGCAACAAGUCAAUAACUAUGCAAAUCCACAACCACAAACCAAUAUGUAUAAUCCAGAAUCAAUGAAUUUGACCAAUAACAAUCCUUAUAUUUUAAACCCUAAUCAAUAUUCUCCAUAUAUGCAAACUCAGAAUCAAAUGCCAGGGUAUGUCAACUACGACCAUCAAGUGUAUUCUCAUCAUCCUCAUCCCCAUCAUCAACAGCAGCAGCAGCAACAACAUCAACAAACAUCUCAGCAACAACAACAACAACAACAACAAAUUAACUAUACGUAUUACCAACAAUCGCAAUAUAAUUCUCAUCCCAUGCAAUACCAGAGUGCUACAUACGGUCUUUUUGAUCCGCCUUGUAAUGAUGCUCUCAUUGAAAAUCUUGUUCAAAGUUGGAGUCAAACUCAAAAUAAUGGUGGUGUGUUCAGUCCAUUUGGAGAUCAGGCGUUUCAAACUUCGAGAGAAAUGAUUCCUGAACGAGAUAUUAACAUUCACAAUCAUAACACGAUGACCAAUCACACGAAUAUUGCUACACCUGUUAAAAAAGUUAGAAUGGUAGCGGAAGUACGUCCGAUGCGACCCAGUUAUUCUGAUGUUUUGGCUAAAUCACCAGCUGUUGGUGCCGUGAAAAAAACUGCAGCUAGUACUCAAGUCGAAACAUUAUUAGAUUUAAAAACAACCUCUAAAGUAAAAACAUCUAUCAAAAAAAAGAAAAACUCUGCAAAGUUGGGUAAAGGAGAAUCUGGUUUGAAAAGACAAAAUUCUUCUGCAAGCAGUGAAGAGCGUAAUACUCCCACAGUAGAAUUUAAAGAAGAUGAAAAAAAGUUUGAAGCUACAUUUAAUAAUAAUAAUAGUAAUAAUGAAAAAGUUUGGACAUCGUCAGAAGACUUGAACGGAUCAGAAUAUUACGAAGCUGAUGAAAACGCUUUUAGUAAUAUUUUGGCACCAAAGUCUAAAGAAAACAAUAAGAAAGAUAAAGCAAAAACUAAAUCUAAGACUGUUCCAUUGUUAAAAACCUCAGGUAAAAUUACAGUUUGUUUUUUAAUUUUCUUUUAAUGAAUCUGAUAAAAUUGAUUUUUUUUAUUUUUAUUAUUUAAGGUUAUACUUUAAAGUCUCAUAAGGACGAUGCUGAAAAACACAAGACUAAAAAAAAUAUUCAAUCGAGUUGUGCUAUUGGUGCUGUUAAAAAAGAGAAGUUAAAUAAUGACCAUAAAAAGCAUAAUGAAUCAAAUAGUAUGUUAUUAUUUAAAUUUAAAUGAAAUUGUAUUUUGAAGUACAAAAUUAUUUGCAUCUAGAUAUUAGUACAACAAAGUUGUCUGAUGAAGUUGAAAAACCUUCUGUCAAAAUGUCUUCAAAUGUACCCCAGUCACAACAGGCUGCACCUACUAGUAAAAAUCAGGGUUCACGUAGUACUGCUACGUUCACAGCAUUACCAUUCAAAGCAAGAUAUCAACGAGUGACAAAAAAACGACCACGUAGCUCUGCUUUAAACACAAUGUGUAUGUGUUAAAUUUUAAACUGUGUUUAUUUAAGAAACAUAAAUCUGUGAAUUUAAAAUAAACUGUUGUUAUUUUCAGUAACAAAACAUUUUAACUUUUUGAAAGCUCAGUUUAUUCAAUAUGCUCCAAUAAUGGUUUUUUGGUUUGUUCAUCUUUUAUGGGACGUCAUCACCAUGAGCUUUCAUUUGUUGUUACACUUGUAAGUUUAUUUUUAUAAUUUUUAAAAAUAGUUACUAUUUCAUUUAUAAACCAUAUUUAUAUUAUAUAGAUCAGCAUCUGGUAUGGCACAACUGGCUGAUUUCGGUAAAAAUUGUUGGACAGAUUUUUUGGGUGGACUGAGGUCUCCAUUUGCUCGUGCAUCGCACUGGGCUCGUGUUAGGUGGAAAGAGCAACAUUCAGGUAGCACUCUUCAAACAAAUAUUCCACUGCCAACUACUGGCGAAGAAGCUCUUAAAAGGCUACUUGCUUGCAAAGGGAAAGAUCCAUACAGGUAAUUUUGUCUGAAUAAUCUGAAAGUAGAUUAUCUCAUAUUCAUUAAUUUGUUGCCUGUGCAUUUAUUGUAUAAAAUCGAUCAUUUGUUCAUCUGUUAUUCAAAAGUAAGGUCAUAAUCAAUCAUUAU
This 3824-nucleotide long non-coding RNA is filed under the name Cinara cedri. Lineage: Eukaryota; Metazoa; Arthropoda; Insecta; Hemiptera; Aphididae. The record is from RNAcentral.